UCAAUAAGCGGAGGAAAAGAAACUAACAAGGAUUCCCCUAAUAACGGCGAGUGAAGAGGGAAGAGCCCAAGAUUGAAAGCUGGCGUCUUCGGCGUCCGCAUUGUAAUCUCAAGAAGUGUUUUCCGCUUCGGACCAAGCCUAAGUCUCUUGGAAAAGAGCAUCGUAGAGGGUGAGAAUCCCGUACAUGGCUUGGAGCGCCCGAGGCUUUGUGAUACGCUUUCUAAGAGUCGAGUUGUUUGGGAAUGCAGCUCAAAAUGGGUGGUAAAUGCCAUCUAAGGCUAAAUAUUGGGGAGAGACCGAUAGCGAACAAGUACCGUGAGGGAAAGAUGAAAAGAACUUUGAAAAGAGAGUUAAACAGUACGUGAAAUUGCCAAAAGGGAAGGGUAGGAGGUCAGAGAUGCGGUCUGGGAUUCAGCCUGGCUUUUGCUUGGUGUUUUUCCCAGAUGGCAGGCCAACGUCGGUUUUGGGCACUGGAGAAGGGUGGGAGGAAUGUGGCACCCCUCGGGGUGUGUUAUAGCCUCCUACUGGAUACAGCGACCGAGACCGAGGACAGCAGCGCACUCGCAAGAGCGGGCCUUCGGGCACCUUUGCGCUUAGGGCGUUGGCAUAAUGGCCCUCUACCACCCGUCUUGAAA
RNAcentral lists this ribosomal RNA (635 nucleotides) under Pilocintractia fimbristylidicola. RNAcentral's name for it is "partial large subunit ribosomal RNA". It matches the Rfam family "Eukaryotic large subunit ribosomal RNA", at positions 43 to 659 of the family's 3401-position model. Lineage: Eukaryota; Fungi; Basidiomycota; Ustilaginomycetes; Ustilaginales; Anthracoideaceae. The record is from RNAcentral.